CCUGGGUGCGCAUCUGAAGCCAGAUGAACUCCACGCUUGGGUCGUGCGUCCUAACCCCUUUAACCUCAUCACCGCCUGCUUGGGGAAAGGCCCGCCGUUGGCUCUGCUCUCGCCAUGGCGGUUGUGGAGCCGAAUUGAAGCCCUUGGACAAUCGGUGGUGAUUACCAAAACUGGCCACAACCUUCCACUGCGGGGAAAUCCACCGUGAGGCCACUAAUUUCUCGCCGUCGUUUCCCCUCCGCCGUGAUUUCGCCUUGUACGUGGCUGGCCGCAACCAAGCAUUGACUCAUGGUAAGAAGCCUUCCUCUCGAAUCACCUCGUCUUCCUCUGCGUGUAGCACGGGUUGGUGUAGGAUUUGGGGCCCUGUCUCCGUCGGGCGGGGUGUGCCGGCGAGUUGCUCUGCCGCGGGGUGCUGUUCACCCCCGCUCUGCCGCAUCGGGGUGGGGAAGAUGUGCCGGGACCGCUGAUUUGGUCGCCAACGGCCAUGAUCAGAGCCAGUGUGCAGUUCGGCCAAAUCUUAUGUGGGUCAUCUGUUUGCUGAUGGACGUGCGUGAUCGGAUGAUGCGGGGGUGAAUUGGGGACCCUAGAUCAGGAUAUGUGCGGUUAGGAUUUUAAUAGUAUGAUUUUGAAUCGCCACCGUCGGUUGGCAAUCCUACGGGGGACAUUCCAUACCGGUUCGUUAUGUGGACCUAUUUAACCGCAGCCAUGGGAUCUUGAUCCAACGACUCACAUCACGUACCGGUUCGCUAGGGUAGUCCAUCUAAUCUGGGCCUUAGAUCCUAAAAUGGAUGGCCUAGAGCCGAGCACGUUGAAUCCGCGUGGUAUUUUUGCAGUAUGGGUCCUCAGGGUUUUCCACAAUUAACCCGCGAUCCCUGAUGGUGAUGGAAUCAUUUUAGAAAGGCCCUGAGUUUUGUAGGUUAGACCUUGGUGAACUCAGAAAUUGUGUCCGCCAUCCACCGGUCUGGUAAUCUCAGAGAAUAAAAUCUAAAAUGAUUUUUAGAAUGAAAAUAAAUAUGAUAAACUUAGGAAAUUCAUAACUUUCUCGUUUUAACUCCGAUUUGACUCAUUCAAAUUGUGAUAGAUUUGUAAUAAAGUUUACUACACUAUGACAAACAUCCCGUUGUCAUAUCACUUACUCUUUUAGUUAGUUAUUUAAUUACCCUAUCUAUAUAGUAGAUUAAUAUUUUAUCAAAGUAGUCCGACUAUGACUAUUAAUAACUAUCGAAUGACCUCUAAUCAGGUUAUAACCUAUAUUAAAAUUGGAGUUAGUUAUAUCUUUUCUCACAUGAUUUAUUUUAAUCAACAUAAAAUAUAGUUUCAUUGAUUAAAUCACCUAAAUCUUGGAAAAGCCAUAUCUUUGUAACCGUAGCUCCGAAUUUAGUGAUUCUCGAACCCACGAUCUCGUAGCAUCUCAUAGAUUAUUAUUAUUCAGUUUGUACUUAUGUUUGAUGUGAUGUUAAUUUUGCCUAUAUCAUGUUUGUCUGUAUUGCUAUGACUAACAGUGAGGUCACGAGUCACCUGAAGAGCAAGUUGGUACCUGGAAUCUCAAGUCCCAGGCAAGUUGAGCCCUUGACCACUUUUAUUACCCAAUAAUGUUCUUUAUUAUCACUUAUUCAUGCAUAGGCUUAAUUUUGAUGGGACCCAAUAGGUCACCCUAGACUGAUUAUCUUGUUACCUUGUUUACCCCUGAACUAUUUGGAUAGUUUUUGCUAUUGCUCUAUAUGGUUUUGGGUUUAAUAUUACAUUAUGUUCAUGUUCCAAUUAUACUAUUAUUUUAUUUAUUAUUCAUGUCAAGAUCAUUAUUUUUAAUUGGAACAUGGAGCUUAACUUGAGAAACAUGUGCCACCACAAGGGUGGAAUGGGACGCCCUUGGCUGACUAACUAGGAAAGCUAGUGGAGGACUACCUUACCCGAUAGGGGCAAGGGCAGUAGGCGUGUAGGGAGGUUCCCGGGUUGAUUUUGCUGCGAUGGCGGUCAGAUGGGGGAUUCCCGCAUUGCUCUUCCUAGAAAAUGUAGCGGGUUUUCUGAAGCUAGUGGAACUUUGUAAAGGCUUCGUAGUGGAUCCCUAGCCAUUCACCUCGGUAGUUUUUAAGGGUCUAGCUAACCCUAGUGACAUGGGAUACACGACUUGUGGGUACAGGGUACAACCUCUGCAGAGUGUAAAACUAGUAUACUAGCCGUGCUCGUGAUCAUGAGCAGCUCAGGACUCUCGCAUGAUUAAUUUAUGGAAUUAAAUUCAAUUUGUCAUAUGCAAUUCAUUGCGGGUGUUGUUAUCAAUUUUGAUCUAUUAUUACUCUGGUUAGGUAUCUACUUGCACUUAGUAACUACUAAUAAAAUUUUGACCAACUUUAAAAGCAAUGCUCAGCUUUAAUCAUUCUCUUUGGUAAGCCUUACACUUCACAUGAGCUCCCACCUUUGGCGAGUUUAUGCACAUUAUUCCCCACAACUUGUUGAGCAAAGAACAUAUGUGAGCUCACCCUUGCUGUCUAACACCCCCCACAAGUCAAGAACAGGUACCGCAGGAUGAGGCGCAUGGAGGAUGCUGAGAUGUGUUCGUGAGAGGUCUAGACCGUCGUCUCCCAGUCAGCUUUGGGUUGCUGGAUCGUUGUCUUCAUAUGAUGUAAUUAUUUAUUUAUUUUAUACAGAACUCCUAUUAUAUAGUAAAGAUGUGACAUUUUUUCUGUACCAUGAGUCAUCAUGUGUGUAAGACUUGGUCCUAACACACUUGGUGAUUAUUUCGCACCCG
Molecule: long non-coding RNA, 2746 nt
Filed under: Zea mays
Lineage: Eukaryota; Viridiplantae; Streptophyta; Magnoliopsida; Poales; Poaceae
Description: long non-coding RNA (ZMAY_LNC003704)
Source: RNAcentral